GCACAACAAUUUUAUCAAUGACAGUAGAUAAUGUAAGAAAGCAUGCAAGGAAGGGAUCACCAAACUAAAAAAACAAGCCUGAGGGAAGCACUACCGCAUGGAAGUGACCUUUAAUUAGUUAAAAGUAGAAAGAACAUCUCUACACAAUAAAAUGCUGUACGGAAUAAUAUCCUUAGUCUAAUAAAAACAACCCACACCAACCAUAUCCCAGUCUUCACAUUCUAAUAGAUUAAAUGCCCAGACACUAGCCUUUGCGAGCCAAGUAACCUGCGAAAAAGGCACUUACCCCACAAGUAAUCGCAAAAUCAUAACUUGAUUGCACAAAUCAACAUAUUUUCAACCCCACCUUAAUCUUACCAGUUUUCCUGCUACAAUUAUAGCUGAGGGAGACUACCAUUCCCCUUCCUAGCACUGGAAUUCACCAUUCGCGGAUCUUGAUCCUUUUCAGCCACCAUUCCGUGGUUUAUCAUCUCCCUUUGGCCAUUCUCACGAACCAAUUCCCCAGACUUCUCGUGCUCAACUCCAAUAGCACCGUUAUGAUUCUGCAUUAAUCCUCCCCUAAAAGCAGGUGAAGGGGUCACCAUUGCUACCCCAUUCAUCUCCACAUCCAUGGCAGAUCCAUUAUUCUCACCUGGCAACCCCAGGGUCGGAUUCUGCCCUUUCAAGUCCACAGAAUUCAAAGCUACUAAAACCUCAGAAGACCCAUCCAACCUCUCCGCAUUCAUGACAUUCUCCUCCUCCAAUGGCAGAGCUGCAACCACCAUACUAAGGCAUUGAUUACUACCUCUGUUACUCCCAUUGCCAUAACCCAAUCCUGGGCCAUUAGAAGGAUACUGCAAUAUAUCCUUCUUCUUCAGCUUAUCCCUAGCCGUAAGAUAAGCCACAUGGUCUAU
This 893-nucleotide unclassified non-coding RNA is filed under the name Hevea brasiliensis (rubber tree). The record is from RNAcentral. Lineage: Eukaryota; Viridiplantae; Streptophyta; Magnoliopsida; Malpighiales; Euphorbiaceae.